Molecule: transfer-messenger RNA, 354 nt
Filed under: Anaerovibrio slackiae
Lineage: Bacteria; Bacillati; Bacillota; Negativicutes; Selenomonadales; Selenomonadaceae
Description: Standard tmRNA
Rfam family: transfer-messenger RNA
About the family: Bacterial tmRNA, also known as 10Sa RNA or SsrA, is named for its dual tRNA and mRNA-like properties. Its role is to liberate the mRNA from a stalled ribosome.
Source: RNAcentral
GGGGAUGUAAAGGUUUCGACGGGGGUGGCUGGAGUAUGGAUAGCGAGCCGGGGGUUCACCUAGCCCCGUCAGUAAGGUGAAACUUUUAUUUAAAUAUAAAAGCAAACGAAAACUACGCUUUAGCAGCUUGAUGCUAACCCCUGUUCACUUAGCUCCCGCCUGAGGGAAUAAGGGGCCAAUUGCGGGAUACCUGAUGCCUGACUCCUGGGGGGCUGAAUGGGAAAUUUUUCCAGGAUAGGAUGGACGGCGGUUGUUUGUGUCUGCCCAUAUCUGAAGCUUAAACAUAAACUGCGCUCGGAGAAGUCGGUAUGACAACGCUUUCGGACGGGAGUUCGAUUCUCCCCAUCUCCACCA